UGCUGUUACUCCCAAGUCAUCCUCGUCUGAUGAGUCCUCCGAAGGAGCUAUGACACUUGGUACUAUUGGCAUUUUUGUGUCAGGCUAAAACCACCCCAUUUUCCUGCACUUUUAAUUAGCUUUAAUCAGCUUUUAAUUAGCAGCAUCUGCUGCUGCCUUUUUUUGCUUUGGUGAUGCUGCUUUAGAGAGAGAAAGAGAGAGAGAGAACGAAUGAAUGAACAAAUAAGUAAGCCAGGGAAAUGAUUCAGCACCAGAAGCCACCCGUGCAACUUGCUUAGGAAAAUGGCAGCGAAUGAACCUCAGUGAAGGCUCUGUUUGAACUUGCUAAGAUGACACCAGCCACUUGCUGAGAAAAGCCAACAAAGCCGGAAUAUUGUCAGCUGCCUUUGGCCAAAAGAUGGGGCAUAAAUAAAUUUAACAACAACAACAAUAAGAAGACUGCCCUUGAAAAAGGGUCAUUCAGACCUGAGAUGCGUUGGGCUCUAAUCAACAGCUCCUACUUGACAACAAAACACUUUUACUACAUUGUGACUGCCCUUGGCAUUCCUGAGAAACUGGUUUCCUCUUUUUGUUUUCUGUUUAUCUCCAUACCUCAUUCCCCCCCCAAAAUUCAGCUCUCCAUAUUCUGCACCAAUUUGCAAUUUUUUUUGAAAAAUUCUCAUGAAAAUUCUUCAGCAUUUUAGUGUGAAUU
Rhineura floridana is the source of this 691-nucleotide long non-coding RNA. RefSeq lists it as uncharacterized. Lineage: Eukaryota; Metazoa; Chordata; Lepidosauria; Squamata; Rhineuridae. The transcript is spliced from 4 exons. The record is from RefSeq and is a predicted model, not a curated record.